AUGCAGAAGAUCCCGAACAGAGAUAUAAUCAACAGAGAUCCAGCAGAGAUCAACACUAUCAGAGACACUGAGACUGGAGGAACUGAAGGAGAGGAAAAGAGAGACAGUCAUUAAUGUUAAAGCUUCUGACAGUUUACAGAAUUGAAGAACAGCAGCACAGACACAAGACAAAAAGAAAGAUGCAGAAGAUCCCAAACAGAGUUAUAAUUAUCACAGAUCCAGCAGAGAUCAACACUAUCAGAGAGAUGCUAUCUCUAUCAUAUAUAGAGUCUGGAGGAGAUGAAGGAGAGGAAAAGAGAGACAGUCAUUAAUGUGAGUGAAUCUGUUGGUCUGAUCUACAACAGAAGACAGAGAUCAGAUGCAGAAGAUGCUCAAUGCAACUACAAUCAACAGAGAUCCGGCAGCAGCAGCAGAGAUCAACACUAUCAGAGAGAUGCUAUCUCUAUCAUAUAUAGAGUCUGGAGGAGAUGAAAGAGAGUAAAAGAGAGACAGUCAUUAAUGUAAGUGAAUGUAUCACUCUGAUCUACAACAGAAGACUAUUGAGCUAAGAUCAAUAAAUAAAAAUAAAAUAAUACC
Molecule: long non-coding RNA, 576 nt
Organism: Ctenopharyngodon idella (grass carp)
Lineage: Eukaryota; Metazoa; Chordata; Actinopteri; Cypriniformes; Xenocyprididae
Exons: 4
Source: RefSeq, a predicted model, not a curated record